GGCGGCGUGCCUAAUACAUGCAAGUAGAACGCUGAAGGAGGAGCUUGCUUCUCUGGAUGAGUUGCGAACGGGUGAGUAACGCGUAGGUAACCUGCCUGGUAGUGGGGGAUAACUAUUGGAAACGAUAGCUAAUACCGCAUAAUAUUGACUAUUGCAUGAUAGUCAAUUAAAAGGUGCAAUUGCAUCACUACCAGAUGGACCUGCGUUGUAUUAGCUAGUUGGUGGGGUAACGGCUCACCAAGGCGACGAUACAUAGCCGACCUGAGAGGGUGAUCGGCCACACUGGGACUGAGACACGGCCCAGACUCCUACGGGAGGCAGCAGUAGGGAAUCUUCGGCAAUGGACGGAAGUCUGACCGAGCAACGCCGCGUGAGUGAAGAAGGUUUUCGGAUCGUAAAGCUCUGUUGUAAGAGAAGAACGAGUGUGAGAGUGGAAAGUUCACACUGUGACGUAUCUACCAGAAAGGACGCA
Molecule: ribosomal RNA, 472 nt
Filed under: Streptococcus sp. oral taxon 058
Lineage: Bacteria; Bacillati; Bacillota; Bacilli; Lactobacillales; Streptococcaceae
Description: bacterial SSU rRNA
Rfam family: Bacterial small subunit ribosomal RNA
Source: RNAcentral